RNAcentral lists this ribosomal RNA (677 nucleotides) under uncultured marine group I thaumarchaeote. RNAcentral describes it as "bacterial SSU rRNA". It matches the Rfam family "Archaeal small subunit ribosomal RNA", at positions 321 to 999 of the family's 1478-position model. The record is from RNAcentral. Lineage: Archaea; Thermoproteati; Nitrososphaerota.
CCCUAUGGGGUGCAGCAGGCGAGAAAACUUUGCAAUGUGCGAAAGCACGACAAGGUUAAUCCGAGUGUUUUCUGCUAAAGAAAUCUUUUGUUAGUCCUAAAAACACUGAUGAAUAAGGGGUGGGCAAGUUCUGGUGUCAGCCGCCGCGGUAAAACCAGCACCUCAAGUGGUCAGGAGGAUUAUUGGGCCUAAAGCAUCCGUAGCCUGCUUUGUAAGUUUUCGGUUAAAUCCAUAUGCUCAACAUAUGGGCCGCCGGGAAUACUGCACAGCUAGGGAGUGGGAGAGGUAGACGGUACUCGGUAGGAAGGGGUAAAAUCCUUUGAUCUAUUGAUGACCACCAGUGGCGAAGGCGGUCUACCAGAACACGUCCGACGGUGAGGGAUGAAAGCUGGGGGAGCAAACCGGAUUAGAUACCCGGGUAGUCCCAGCUGUAAACUAUGCAAACUCGGUGAUGCGUUGGCUUGUAGCCAGUGCAGUGCCGCAGGGAAGCCGUUAAGUUUGCCGCCUGGGAAGUACGUACGCAAGUAUGAAACUUAAAGGAAUUGGCGGGGGAGCACCACAAGGGGUGAAGCCUGCGGUUCAAUUGGAGUCAACGCCAGAAAUCUUACCCGGAGAGACAGCAGAAUGAAGGUCAAGCUGAAGACUUUACCAGACAAGCUGAGAGGUGGUGCAUGGCC